UGCCUCUUAGUGUAAUGGUUAGCACACAAGUUUUUGGAGCUUAGAGUGGGGGUUCAAAUCCCUUAGAGGCAA
RNAcentral lists this transfer RNA (72 nucleotides) under Crassvirales sp. RNAcentral describes it as "tRNA-Gln". It matches the Rfam family "tRNA". Rfam says of the family: Transfer RNA (tRNA) molecules are approximately 80 nucleotides in length. Their secondary structure includes four short double-helical elements and three loops (D, anti-codon, and T loops). The record is from RNAcentral. RNAcentral also lists the same sequence under 1 other name. Lineage: Duplodnaviria; Heunggongvirae; Uroviricota; Caudoviricetes; Crassvirales.